AAGCAUGGUGUCAAGUUGCAGAGAUUUUAACAGAUUAAGGUCAAGGUGUGACCAUAAACUGUGGUCUUGAUUUAAAGGAGGUGACAUGGUUAUGAUAAUUAUUACGCUCCUUUUCAAACCCAGCAGCAACAUUUUACUUCAAUAAUAUAUUCAGACAUAAAUAUUCAGUGCAGCCUAAACACAAUCUGUACAUAAAUAAUGUCAGUAUUCAUGAGUUAGGAGAUUAUUACUGUACAAACAUAGUCAAAACUGCAAAAUUCAGCAAAUGCAGCAGACUUGUCCAGACCCCAUGGAUCACACCGAUCACUGUCCCAACUCAACCUUCAGAGUGUCAGAAUCACACUGUAGUAGUGCAGCCCACAGAGCCGACAUAGUGGCAGAUGGUUACUGUCAUACUUGCUCUGAUGAGUGUUGUUCUGGUAUUUGGGGUCAAAGCAUUCUUAGGCCUUUGUAAGUUUUUUGCUGGUUGCAGUAACAAACACCCACAACGAUGAAGAAACUGACCUUCUGCAGCUUAACUGAUAGAUCCUGGAUACGCUGAGCUGAUGUCUCUUUUGGGAGGUUUCCAAACAACUGGAAAAAAAAUUAAAUAUGUCCCAGUUUCAGCUAUAGGGGUCCCUGGGAUCAAUUUACAUAGAACAGAAGCCCAACAUACAUUUAAGAACAUAACUGACAGUUUUCUUGGGUUUACUGAAUAAUAAAUGUUUGCAUAGUUAACUGUCACCCCUUCUCGAGUUUUGACCUUUGUUUAAAAAAAAAAGACUUCUUCGU
Long non-coding RNA from Carassius auratus (goldfish), 771 nucleotides. RefSeq lists it as uncharacterized. NCBI's taxonomy places the organism in Eukaryota, Metazoa, Chordata, Actinopteri, Cypriniformes, Cyprinidae. The transcript is spliced from 3 exons. The record is from RefSeq and is a predicted model, not a curated record.